CAAUAGCGUAUAUUUAAGUUGUUGCAGUUAAAAAGCUCGUAGUUGGAUUUCUGGUGGGAGCGAUCGGUCUGGCGCUUAGCGCGAGUACUUGCAUCGUCUCCGUCCAUCCUUGGGGAGAGUCUGUCUGGCAUUAGGUUGUCGGGCAGAGGAUCCUCAUCGUUUACUGUGAAAAAAUUAGAGUGUUCAAAGCAGGCUUAUGCCGUUGAAUAUAUUAGCAUGGAAUAAUAAGAUAGGACUUUGGUACUAUUUUGUUGGUUUGCGCACCAAAGUAAUGAUUAAUAGGGACAGUUGGGGGUAUUCGUAUUCCGUUGUCAGAGGUGAAAUUCUUGGAUUUACGGAAGACGAACUACUGCGAAAGCAUUUACCAAGGAUGUUUUCAUUAA
This 383-nucleotide ribosomal RNA is filed under the name uncultured eukaryote. Its description in RNAcentral is "partial 18S ribosomal RNA". It matches the Rfam family "Eukaryotic small subunit ribosomal RNA", at positions 592 to 976 of the family's 1831-position model. The record is from RNAcentral.